CAGUAGCCGCGGUAAUACGUAGGGUCCGAGCGUUGUCCGGAAUUACUGGGCGUAAAGAGCUCGUAGGUGGUUUGUCGCGUUGUUCGUGAAAACUCACGGCUCAACUGUGGGCGUGCGGGCGAUACGGGCAGACUGGAGUACUGCAGGGGAGACUGGAAUUCCUGGUGUAGCGGUGGAAUGCGCAGAUAUCAGGAGGAACACCGGUGGCGAAGGCGGGUCUCUGGGCAGUAACUGACGCUGAGGAGCGAAAGCGUGGGGAGCGAACAGGAUUAGAUACCCCCGUAGUCCCUGUCUCUUAUAU
This 301-nucleotide ribosomal RNA is filed under the name uncultured bacterium. RNAcentral describes it as "partial 16S ribosomal RNA". It matches the Rfam family "Bacterial small subunit ribosomal RNA", at positions 509 to 809 of the family's 1533-position model. The record is from RNAcentral.